This is an RNA transcript of Cercocebus atys (sooty mangabey), 609 nucleotides long. It is a transcript of the gene named 60S ribosomal protein L11-like, with no coding region annotated. The transcript has 2 exons. Lineage: Eukaryota; Metazoa; Chordata; Mammalia; Primates; Cercopithecidae. The record is from RefSeq and is a predicted model, not a curated record.
UUCCUGUACUCCAUCAUGGCACAGGAUCAAGGUGAAAAGGAGAACCCCAUGCGGGAACUUCGCAUCCUCGCAAGCUCUGUCUCAACAUCUGUGUUGGGGAGAGUGGAGACAGAUUGACCCGAGCAGCCAAGGUUUUGGAGCAGCUCACAGGGCAGACCCCUGUGUUUUCCAAAGCUAAAUACACUGUCAGAUCCUUUGGCAUCCGGAGAAAUGAAAAGAUUGCUAUCCACUGCACAGUUCGAGGGGCCAAGGCAGAAGAAAUCUUGGAGAAGGGUCUAAAGGUGCGGGAGUAUGAGUUAAGAAAAAACAACUUCUCAGAUACUGGAAACUUUGGUUUUGGGAUCCAGGAACACAUCGAUCUGGGCAUCAAGUAUGACCCAAGCAUUGGUAUCUACGGCCUGGACUUCUAUGUGGUGCUGGGUAGGCCAGGUUUCAGCAUUGCAGACAAGAAGCGCAGGACAGGCUGCAUUGACGCCAAACACAGAAUCAGCAAAGAGGAGGCCAUGCGCUGGUUCCAGCAGAAGUAUGAUGGGAUCAUCCUUCCUGGCAAAUAAAUUCCCGUUUCUAUCCAAAAGACCAAUAAAAAGUUUUCAGUGGAAAAAAAAAAAA